Paramuricea clavata is the source of this 777-nucleotide non-coding RNA. The record is from the annotation of a GenBank genome assembly. Lineage: Eukaryota; Metazoa; Cnidaria; Anthozoa; Malacalcyonacea; Plexauridae.
AAUAUCCUCAUCUUUCGCGCGCGAAUAUAUUUCUCUUUGAUCUCCCAAUUCAAACGUCUUUCCUAUAAAGGCUCCUUACCAGAUUGUUCAUCAUGCAGCGACGAUAAAAUUGGCACAAUGUCAAUGGUCAAUGCAAAUGUUCAAGGAAUGUAUGUUUUUUACAAACUAAUUCACUUAUCAGAGAUAUUAAUGUGGCCGAAUGAAAGAAUCGUUUCACUCAAUUUUCAUGCCCUAACAAGUAUGAAAAAACUAAUUCUUUAAUUAAUGUAACAUACAUGUUAUGUAAUAUGUUAUAAUAAUAUAUGUAACAUAUAUGUUGUAAAUGGAAGAACAAACGGUGAUCUCCCUGGGCAAUUACCUGUCAGACCUAUAACGGGGCAAGUGUGGUUGACUAUGUUGUUAUCUCGCACAGCUUGCUUUCAUUUGUUGUAGGCUUUAAUGUUGAAGAUAUCACUGAAUUUUCUCAUUCAUGUCUGUCUUUUAUACUACAGAUUAAAUAUCCACAAAACUCAGGUGAUACUUUCAAAUUAACCCCUCAUAAUAAAUCUUUUAUUUGGAAUGAAAGGAUGCUCUAAGAGAAUGCAUGAGUUCGAACGAAAUAGAAAAUAAAUUAGAAUCGCUAUUUUUCCAGCAUAAAGGUGUAUCUAGUGAUGAAGCAACCGACACAGAUGCUUGUAGCUAAUUUCUCAGAAAUUUUGUCCGAUACCUCACAAAAAUUUCUAAAAAUUAAGAGGCAAAAGAAAAAGAUCAAAAAAGGUAAUACCAAAAUGAGACAGG